AGCGAACGCUGGCGGCAGGCUUAACACAUGCAAGUCGAGCGGGCGUAGCAAUACGUCAGCGGCAGACGGGUGAGUAACGCGUGGGAACAUACCUUUUGGUUCGGAACAACACAGGGAAACUUGUGCUAAAUACCGGAUAAGCCCUUACGGGGAAAGAUUUAUCGCCGAAAAGAUUGGCCCGCGUCUGAUUAGCUAGUUGGUGAGGUAACGGCUCACCAAGGCGACGAUCAGUAGCUGGUCGAGAGGAUGAUCAGCCACAUUGGGACUGAGACACGGCCCAAACUCCUACGGGAGGCAGCAGUGGGGAAUAUUGGACAAUGGGCGCAAGCCUGAUCCAGCCAUGCCGCGUGAGUGAUGAAGGCCCUAGGGUUGUAAAGCUCUUUUGUGCGGGAAGAUAAUGACGGUACCGCAAGAAU
RNAcentral lists this ribosomal RNA (416 nucleotides) under uncultured bacterium. RNAcentral's name for it is "bacterial SSU rRNA". It matches the Rfam family "Bacterial small subunit ribosomal RNA", at positions 29 to 487 of the family's 1533-position model. The record is from RNAcentral.